Molecule: ribosomal RNA, 296 nt
Filed under: uncultured bacterium
Lineage: Bacteria
Description: partial 16S ribosomal RNA
Rfam family: Bacterial small subunit ribosomal RNA
Source: RNAcentral
UUAUCCUACGGGGCGCAGCAGUAGGGAAUCUUCCACAAUGGACGAAAGUCUGAUGGAGCAACGCCGCGUGAGUGAAGAAGGGUUUCGGCUCGUAAAGCUCUGUUGGUAGUGAAGAAAGAUAGAGGUAGUAACUGGCCUUUAUUUGACGGUAAUUACUUAGAAAGUCACGGCUAACUACGUGCCAGCAGCCGCGGUAAUACGUAGGUGGCAAGCGUUGUCCGGAUUUAUUGGGCGUAAAGCGAGUGCAGGCGGGUCCAUAAAUCUGGUGUGAAAACCUUUGGCUCAACCGGAGAAAU